Callithrix jacchus (white-tufted-ear marmoset) is the source of this 896-nucleotide long non-coding RNA. NCBI's taxonomy places the organism in Eukaryota, Metazoa, Chordata, Mammalia, Primates, Cebidae. The record is from Ensembl.
CAAAGAAAUUGAUUGUCUCAUGGUACUAGAGGCCAGAAGCCCAAAAUCAAGGCGUUGGCAGGGCCACGCUCCCUCCAAAGGCUCCCACAGAGGAUCCUUCCUUGCCUCAUCCAGCUUUUGGUGGCCCCAUGCACUUCUUGGCUUGUGGCUGUACCAUUCCAAUAUCUGCCUCUGUUUUCUCACGGCCUUCUUCUCUUCUCUACAAGUCUCUUCUUUCUGUGACCUGCAUAAGGACACUUAUCACUGGAUUUAGGGCCCACCUGGAUAAUCCAGGAUGAUCUCAUCUCAAGAUCCUUAAUCAUAUCUGCAAAGCCCUUUUUCUAAAUAAGGUCACUCUUGCCGCUUCUGGGGUUUAGGACAUGAACACAUCUUAGUGGGGGCUACCGUUCCAACCAUUACACUUCCAUGUGCCCUUGGCCAACGGCAAUGGAGAACAAACCCUGCUUUUUGGUCCACCCAAAGAUCCAAGCUCUAUGUCCCCGGAAACUGACCUGUGGACUGCUUCAUGUGGGCUCAUUUGCCCUCUGCUUCUGGCUGGUUUGGCAAUGGAGACAGAGAGAGAUGAGAAGGUGGGCGGAGAGAAAGGUUGGUGUGUGUUCAUUCCUCCAACCCCCGCCUUGUCUCUUCCACAGCUCCAGCCUCAGGCUGGUCCUUUGACCAUGCUUCAUUGAUUCCUGAAACCUGCUGCCACCUGUGUAAAUAGUAUCUGCAGUAAAUAACUCUUCAGUUAAACUCUUCUCUGCACUGUGUAUGCCCUGCCCAGACCCAACUGUUACAAUACUGAAUGCUCAUAUAAAUCUUAUAUAAAUGCUUACUUACUCUUAACUCUGACCCUCUUAUAAAUGCUAUAUGUAUAGUUAACAUUUGCAAUAAGCCUAUGAGGUAGAUGCUGUUAC